UUGUAACAAACAUAAACAGUUUCAGUACACGUCAAUAUAUCGCGGGACGGCUUGCGAGUUGCUAGUAUUAGUGAAGUCUCUUCCUCACCCACGGUUAACUGCCACUGUCGUAACUGGAAUUUAUACAGGAAAAGAUCGUAGCAAAAUAUACAGCUGAGAAUCAUGGGUGGAUCAUGGAGUGGAGAUGCCAGUCAGAACGGAGGAAGUGGAAGCAGCAAAUCGCACAAUUAUGCGAACGAUAAUAGAUCAAACCAGUGCAACCCCAACCAUUCUGAAUAUCGAGGUUACACGGGCAGUUACGGAGGCGAUGGCUCGAAAGCAGAUCGGAACAAUCACUCCAACCAAUUAAAUCCCAAUAACUGGAGAUAUUCUGGGAAGUAAAUUGAAAAACUUUUUUUCAACAUCAUAGCUUCAUCGUAUACUUUAUUCUAUUAAUUCGAUGUUUUUUGAAUUGAAUAAAAUUCACUAUGUACGA
Molecule: long non-coding RNA, 475 nt
Organism: Styela clava
Lineage: Eukaryota; Metazoa; Chordata; Ascidiacea; Stolidobranchia; Styelidae
Source: RefSeq, a predicted model, not a curated record